GUCAGACAGGAAGGAGGAGGCCCCCAAAGGGAGGGAGCCAGCCUCCACAGAUGACUUGGAGCUUGCUUGCCCCUGCAUGGCCUGACUGUCAGGACUGGAGCCUUCUGCGGGCUCCAGGGAACCCGAGACCAUCAGCCCCAACACAGGCAGCCUGGUGCUACCAGGGCUGUCUCCCAGUUCUGCACCAGUGGAGACCAUCAGCCCCAGCACCAGCAUCCAGGUGCAAUCCCCUGGAUCUUCAGCACCAGAGACCAGCAACCACCAUACCAACCAACAGGCAACAUCGGAGCAGUCUCUGGAAUCUCCCUCACAGGAGAUGAGCAGCUCCAGCCCUGACAGUCAGAAGUCGCCAUGACAGGAGCCGUGUUAGAGCACCCAGUGCUGGGAGCUCCACUCACUGGUGGGACAGUGAGACAGGGACCCACCGCUGACACGUCCCACGUCAGACAGGGAGGAGGAGGCCCCCAAAGGGAGGGAGCCAGCAUGCCUGCUGUGUCAGCCAUCAGAGGCUGACCCGGGUAUCUGCAGAGAAAACCUUCAGAUAAAUGAGUUCUGUGCCCACGAGUUCUGCCUGUUUUUUGCCAGCCACCUUCCUCACCACCCGGUAGAUCGAGUAGGACUCAGGGUUUCCUCCCAAGGAAUAUCCCAGAUGUACUCUCCCAGGUGGCACAGCAGAGCUGCUGCAUCUGUGGCCAGAGCGGGGCCACCAUCACCUGCUGCGAAACAGACUGUGACCUGAGCUUCCACCUGCCCUGUGCCAAGUAGGGAGGCCGUGUCACCCAGUUCAUGGCACCGUACAGGGACAGGCUCUGCAUGCUGGUCUUUUAUCCCUCCAGUGCCCCCUCUGCAGAAAUGAUGACACAUUUCUCAGGGAUAUGUUCACCAUGGGGAUCCGAAAGCCCUUGAGACCACCAUCAUGGGAGAGCAUUAAUGCAUUCACCGAGUUCGGAGAGAGACACGGGCACUGCGAUGCCAGUGAGUGCCUUUGUCCAGGAGGCAGGCAGGAGGCAGAGGAG
Molecule: long non-coding RNA, 1016 nt
Organism: Neopelma chrysocephalum (saffron-crested tyrant-manakin)
Lineage: Eukaryota; Metazoa; Chordata; Aves; Passeriformes; Pipridae
Exons: 8
Source: RefSeq, a predicted model, not a curated record